This is a long non-coding RNA of Chelonia mydas (Green sea turtle), 470 nucleotides long. RefSeq lists it as uncharacterized. NCBI's taxonomy places the organism in Eukaryota, Metazoa, Chordata, Testudines, Cheloniidae. The transcript is spliced from 3 exons. The record is from RefSeq and is a predicted model, not a curated record.
UUUAAAUAUAUAUAACAGCAACUAAGUGGGAAAGGCUAUAUAAGAAUCAGUAGAUUUAAAAAUUAUACAGAGGGUUUCCCAAUAUUGUUGACAGUGUUUUCAUUCAUACAUUCUCAGGCCAUAAGGGACCAUUGGGAUCAUCUACUCUGACCUCCUGGAUAACACAAACCAGAGAACUUUCCUGAAUGAAUUCCUUUUGAACCCGAAAAACAUCCCCUCUGGAUUUUAAAAUGUCCAGCCAUGGACCAUCUCCCCCAGCCUCCGGACUCGCUAACACUCCCAGUGAAGGGAGCACCUCAGAGAAGGCCCGGCUUUUAGAAGAGUGAUCGCUGAUAAAACAGAUGAGCAAAGGUUGAUCUACGGCAGCUCACAGCACUAUUUUCUGGUGAAGAUCUCAGAUCAAUACCUGCCAACACUAAUCUCUAAAGCAGCAUGCGGUCACCUGGGACACAGCACAUUAUUUUUUAAAU